CUGAGCAUUCCAGGACAAGCCCGCUGGCAGUAAGGACUCCCUGUGGAGUCAGGGUGAAGGUUCUAGUGUAAUCUGUGCUGUACUCCAGGAGCUGCCUACAGAAGUUCCAUGCCUUGUGUCUUCAGGAAGUCCAAUCGGUAUAUAGGUGCUUUUCCCACAAAACGCCAAGGGGCCAGCCUGAUGUAACCAUCCACAGAGGAGAUUCCUGGUAGUUCUGCCAUCUCAUCCCUCCCUCCAGAUGCAGCAACAGGAGCCAUUUGCCGCUCACCAGAGCUCUUGUGUCCCAGUGUUAGAGAGACACAGAGACUCAAGUUCAUGUUCUUCUCCUCAGGAGGACUGGGGCUGAAGACAAGAGAAGUUGCUCGCCUCUGUAAUACUGCACAGACGCUGUGAGGUGAAGCAAAGCAAAAAUCACAACUUUGGCUUGCGGUAUCAUAUAUGUGUGCGUGUGUACAUGGCACAGCACGUAAGUGACAGAGGGAACAACCUCAGGUGGACGCCUCCACUUCCACCUUGCUGCAGUCUCUUGUUCAUUGCACACACCAGGCUAGCUGGCCUUCAGUCACGGGUGUGCUGCGGUAUCGACCCCACCCCGAGAUUCUUCUUCUCAAGACGGUAGAAUGUCGACCUGGGAAAGGCUGGCAUGUUUGCUUUCACGGGAAUAUUCCAGUGAGGAGAGAUGUUCAGCUCCUCGGACCUGCCAUGGCUUCUGCCCUUCAAGUUGGUUUCUAUGGCUUGUGCUAUGAGGUUUUAAAAGACAGGUUCUCACCAUGAAGCCUUGGCUGGCCUGGAACUCAAUAUGUUGACCAGGCUGGCCUUGAACUCAGAGAGAGUGCUGGAAUUGUGUCAUGCCUGGCUUCUUACAGACUUUACAACCUGUACAUUAUUCGUUGGCUCUCCUACCAUCAAGAACCUAGUUCUGGGCCUGGAGAAAUGGCUCGGUGGUCUGGAAGAAGACCCAAGUUUAAUUCUCAGCAGCCAUGUUGCACGGCUCACGACUGCCUGUAGCUCCAGCUCCAGGGGAUCGGAUGCCUUAUUCUGGGAUUUGUAGACACCCACAUACAAGUGGUGCGUGCCACACCCACAACAUGCAUAGUUUAAAAAAAAAAGUGUAUUCUCUCCUUUUUAACCUGGAUGGGGAUCUGGGUACACCGGAAGUUCCCCAAAUGCAGCAAGUGACGCAGUGGCUUCUAAUCUCAGCUGGAAAAAGCUUAUGCAGCCUCCAGUGUCCAUUAGGACAGUCACGCUGGAAUUCUUCAGUUGCCGUGGGAAGAAGCCAGUACCCAGAUUCUCCGAGAGACACCUGAGUAGCCACAGCCGCCCAGCCUGAGUUGCUUGUGCCAUUUUUGUUGGAGCCUCCGAUAUGUGACUGAAAAAGCCCCGUACCUCUCCAUGGUCCUGAAGGGCUGCAAACUGAAGACCCUGUGUGAGAACCACUAUGCCAGCCCAGUUACCCAAAUGCAUACACAAAAGAGAUGGUUGUCAUUGCUAAGGGCAUUGUUUAUGGGUGGGUGUGUUAGGGCAGAGUUUGAAGCUGACUCAGACUCUUGUACCUGGAAGAAGACUGCUGCCAUGACAAAACCUAAUCAUGGCUUUAUGGCUGGGAUGUGGGCAGAUGUUCUCAGGGUUUUGAAGGUCUAUUAUUACUAUUGAAAACUUGAUGGUCUUCAAGGAGCCUGCUUGCAGGAGCUGAAAGGAAAGUGAGGGAAAUAUUGUUGGAAGUGGGGAGGGUGGUGGUAGGGGACAUUCGUGAGAUGGAAGAAGAAAGUUUAACAGAAUUGUCACGUGAAGUGAUUUGGGUCAUAAAAAAUGUACCUGAGGAAUUAA
Molecule: long non-coding RNA, 1827 nt
Organism: Psammomys obesus (fat sand rat)
Lineage: Eukaryota; Metazoa; Chordata; Mammalia; Rodentia; Muridae
Exons: 2
Source: RefSeq, a predicted model, not a curated record